This is a long non-coding RNA of Tympanuchus pallidicinctus (lesser prairie-chicken), 372 nucleotides long. RefSeq lists it as uncharacterized. The record is from RefSeq and is a predicted model, not a curated record. The transcript is spliced from 2 exons. Lineage: Eukaryota; Metazoa; Chordata; Aves; Galliformes; Phasianidae.
ACUGGCUGAGCAGACCCAUUUCAUUUUGUGAGAUCUUUUUUGCUAGCCUGCAGCGGCACAGUGUGAAAUGACAGCAGCCACUGAAUCAAGGAGAUUACUCCGGGAUCCGUAACACCGCUCGGCACCCCGCAGGGCAGCACCACCCGUAACACCGCUCCCGCAGCGCAGCGCGUCCCGCUCUCCUCUCCCCGCCGCACACUUACGUGGUCCCCACGGCGCGGCGGCAGGCAGCCUGUGCAGGUGGAUCUCAUCCUUAUCCAUCGCCCGUCGAUCCCCGCAGCCCGGCUGAGGUACCAAACUCAACUUGCCAGGGUUCCUCCUACCUCCUUUUUUUUUUUUUUUUUUUUUUUUUUUUUUUCUUCCCGUCCCUUU